RNAcentral lists this long non-coding RNA (6277 nucleotides) under Sus scrofa (pig). RNAcentral's name for it is "lncRNA (ENSSSCG00005014297.1)". The record is from RNAcentral. Lineage: Eukaryota; Metazoa; Chordata; Mammalia; Artiodactyla; Suidae.
UUCCAGGAGUUUGUGUUUUUUGCUUUUUUUUUUUUUUUUUUUGUAGUUGAUUUCUAUUUAUCGUCUCAUAGCAUUGUGGUCGAAGAAAAUGCAUGGGAUGAUGUCACCUUUUAAAAAUUUACCAAGGCUUGAUCUGUGGCCCAAAAUGUGAUCUAUCCUGGAGAAUGUUCCAUGUGCACUUAAGAAUGUAUAUUCUGUUGCUUUGAGACAGAAUGUUCUAUAAAUAUCAGUUAAAUCAUCUAGUCUAGAGUAUUGUUUAAGGCCUGUGUUUCCUUGUUGAUUCUUGGUCUCUUGACAUAAGUGGGGUAUUAAAGUUCCCAGCUGUUAAUGUGUUGCUGUCAAUUUCUCCUUUUAUGGCUGUCAGCAGUUGCCUUAUAUAUUGAGGUGCUCCUAUGUUAGGUGCAUAUGUAUUUACAAUUGUUAUUUCUUCUUCUUGGAUUGAUCCUUUAAUUAUUAGGUAGUGUCUUUUGUCUCUUGUGAUUCUUUAUUUUAAAGUCUAUUUUGUCUGAUAUGAGUAUCGCUACUCCUGCUUUCCUUUGAUUUCCAUUUGCGUGUAAUAUCUUCUUCUAUCUUCUCACCUUCAGUCUGUAUGUGCCCUUGAGUCUGAAGUGGGUCUCUUGUAAACAGCAUGUAUAUGGGUCUUGUUUUUGUAUCCAUUCAGCCAGUCUCUGUCUUUUGUUUGGAGCAUUUAAUCCAUUUACAUUCAGUGUAAUUAUGGAUAAGUAUGUAUUUAUUGCCAUUUUGUUAAUUGCUUUGAAUUGUUACUUUGCGUCUUUUUUUUAAUCUUUCUUUCGUUGUCUUCUCUUGUGAUUUGCUGACUAUCUUUAGUGUUGUGUUUGGAUUGCUUUUCUUUUUUAUUUGUUGUACUUAUUAUUUUGGUUCACAAUUCUCUUAUUUUCGAAUGCAUUUUCAAUAAUCUGCAUUUGUCAUCUCCUUUUCUCAUGUUUGCUAGUUUUGAUAUCAUUUUUGCCAAAUGGGUGAUUUUCUACCCUUGUAUUAUCUUUGUCUUUACUACUGAUUUUUCUCUUUUAAAAUUUUCUUGCUUCUCAUUGUGGCUUUUUCCUUUCUGCUUAGAGAGGUUCCUUUAGUAGUUGCUGUAGAGCUGGUUUUGAAUUGCUAAAUUCUUUUAGCUUUUGUUUGUCUGAAAAGCUUUUGAUCUCUCCUUCAAAUCUGAGAGCCUCGCUGGAUAUAGUAUUCUUGGUUCUAGGCUCCUCCCCUUCAUCACCUUAAAUAUAUCUUGCUACUCCCUUCAAGCUUGCAGAGUCUCUGCUGAAAGAUCAGCUGCUAUCCUUAUGGGGGUUCCUUUGUAUGUUACUUGUUACUUUUCCAUUGUUGCUCUUAAUAUUUUUUCUUUGUAUUUAAUUUUUGUCAGUUUAAUAGUAUGUGUCUCACUGUAUUUCUCUUUGGGUUCAUGCUGUGUGGGAUCCUCUGUGCUUCCUCAGCUUGAGUGUCUUCUUUCCCUCAUUAGGGACAUUUUCCGCUAUAAUCUCUUCAAAUAUUUUCUCUGGUCCCUUUUCUCUCUCUUCUCCUUAUGGAACCUGGGAGAGAAUGUUGGUACAUUUAAUGUUGUCCCGAGAGCUCUUAGGCUCUCCUCAGUUCUUUUAAUCAUUUUCUCUUUAUUUUUUUCUGUGGCAGUGAUCUUCACCACUCUGUCUUCUAUGUCACUUAUUCAUUCUUCUGCCACCAUUAUCCUUCUGUUAAUUCCAUCUACUGUAUUAUUCAUUUCAGAUAUUGUGCUAUCCAUCUUAGUUUGCUUGUUCUUUAGGUCCUAUAGCUCUUCGUUAAACAUUUCUCAUAACUUCUCUGUGUCUCCACCUUUUUUCCAAGGUCUUGGAUCGUCUUUACUAUCAUCACUUUGAAUUCUUUUUCAGGUAGAUUAUCUAUCUCCUCAAUAGAUAAGGGCUGCACCCAUCGCAUGUGGAAGUUCCCAGGCUAGGGGUCCAGUCAGAGCUGUAGCUGCUGGCCUAUGCCACAGCCACAGCAAUGCCAGAUCUGAGCCACAUUUGCAACCUAUGUCACAGCUCCUGGGCAAUGGCAAAUCCUUAACCCACUGGGUGGGGCCAGAGGUCAAACCUGCAUCCUCAUGGAUGCUUGUCGGAUUCUUAACCCAUUGAAUCACAAUGGGAACUCCCUACACUUUUAUUUUUGAUCCGUUUUUGAGAUUAUAGAUGUGACAGGUAUAGAUCCAAGUUUGUUUCUUUGUUUCUGCAUGCAGAUAUCCCAUUGUUCCAGUACCACUUGUUGAGAAGGCUGUGUUUUCUCCACUGCAUUUCCUCUGCACACAAAAGCCCAUAUAUGUGUAGGCCAGUUUAUCAGCUCUCUCUUCUGUUCCUCUGAGCUUUGAUGCUGAUACUGUACUGCCUUCAUUAAUAUAAUUUUAUAGUCAUUCUUGAAAUCGGGUGGCCUUAGCCCUCUAACUUUGUUCUUCUUUUUCAGAGUCGUGUAUGAAUUCUAGCUCCUUUGAAUUUCCAUAUGAAUUUUAGAAUCAGCUAGCCAGUUUUUUCAAAAAGAUUUUUGAUAAUUUGAUUUGGAUUGUGUUGGAUACAUGGAUGAUUUGGGACAUGUUAAUAAUAUUGAGUAUUGUGACCCAAUAGCAAGGUAUACCUCUAGAUUUACUGUCUUUCUCUUUAGUACUUUGAAUAUGUUGCUCCACUGUCUGUAUUCUUGCCUGCAUUGUUUGAGAUGAGAAGUCUGUGUUAUCCUUAUCUUUGUUUUUUCUGUAUGCAACAUGCUCCUCCCUGCCCCCUGCCAUUUUCAGAUUUUCUUUUUGUUUAAUGGCUUUGAGCAAUUUUAAUAUGAUGUGUCUUGGUGUAGUUUUCUUGCUAUUUUUUGUUCUUGGAGUUUGUUGAGUUUCAUGGAUCUGUAGGCUUAUAGUUCUCAUCAAAUUUAGAACAUUUUGGAUGUCAUUUCUUUAAAUAUUUUUCUGUCCACCCCCCCUCUUCUUCAGGAACUCCAUCCGCAUACAUAUUAAGGCCCUUUCAGUUGUUCCAUAGUUUUGUUUGCUGUUUUUUUGUUUUUUAGGGCCACACCCAUAGCAUAUGGAGGUUCCAAGGCUAGGGAUCCAAUUGGAGCUGUAUCCAUUGGCCUAUGCCACAGCCACAGCAAUACCAGAUCCGAGCUGUCUGCAACCUACACCACAGCUCAUGGCAAUGCCAUAUCCUUAACCCACUGAGUGAGGCCAGGGAUCGAACCUGUGUCCUCAUGGAUACUAGUCAGAUUCAUUUCUGUUGAGCCAUGACGGGAACUCCAGUUGUUCCAUAGUUUAUUGAUACUCUUUUAAUUAUUGAAAUUUAUUUUUUCUCUACUUGUUUCAUUUCAGGCAGUUGCUAUUGCUGUCUUUAAGUUCACUAAUAUUUGCUUAUGCAGUGACUAAUUUGUUAUUAAUCCCACCCAGUAUGUUUUUCAUCUCAGACAUUGUAGUUUUUAUUUUUAAAAAUUCCCUAAAAAUUAGAGUCUUUUAAAAAAUAUAUCUUCCAUGGCUUCAGUUAACUUUUUGAAAUAUGGAAUGUUUUAAAUAGAUAAUAUAUUAUAAUAUAAUGUAUUAAAAUAUAAUCCAUUAUAAUGCAAUAUAUAAUUAUUUUAAUGUCCAUCUUUGCCAAUUCUAACAGCUGUGUCAAUUCUAGGUUUGUUUUAAUUGAUUUUUUUUCCUUAUUAUGAGUCAUAUUUUCCUGCCUCUUUUCAUGCCAGUUAACCUCUUGUUGAAUGCCAAGCACUGUGAAUUUUAUCUUGUUGGUUGCUGGCUAUUUUAAUAUUUCUAAAAACUGUUUUGGAGCUUUACUUUGGAAAGCAGCUAAAUUGCUAGUUUAUUUUGGAGGGUCUUGCUUUUAAGAUUUGCUCCAUGGGACCAGAGUGUAUAGAGGGAAGAGUUCAUAAUUCUUUGUUAUGAAGGCAAAACAGUGAGUGUUCUGCCCAAGUUCUACAGCCGGGUUGGUAGGAACAGGUGCUAUUCCCAGCCCCAUGUGAGGAUGGGGAGCUGUCCCUCUAAUCCUCUGGACGUUCUUUCCCCAGCCUCAGGUAGCUUCCUUAUGCACUUGCACUCAUGGCUCUGUGUUUUGCUAAAUGCUCCAGAGACCUCCAGAGUUCUCUUUCUGGGUGUUUUCCCCCCUCUGGUGUUCUGUGCUUCAUACUGAAGAUACCCCAGUCUUUCCCAACACCCAGCUUUUUCUCCUCAACUCAAGUUGUUUACCAAGUUCUGCCUUCCUUCCCAUUUCCUGCACCGCAGCCUGGAUUCUCACUUCAGGCAAUGAGGUAGGACAAUUGCAGGGCUCACUUCAUUUAUUUUCUGUCUCUCACAGGGAUCAUUAUCCUUUGCUGCCUUACGCCCACUGUCUUGAAAACUGUUGUUCCAUGUUUUUUGUUUUGGGUUUUUUUUUUUUGGUUGUGUCAAAUGAGAGUAAAUCUGUUCCAUUUCUCCAUCUUGCUAGAAGCAGAAGUGUCCAUUACCUUUUUAUUUCAUUAUUUUUCUUUUAAAACCCUCCUUAGAAGCAACCUUCCUUUAUAACAACCAACAGCCCAGAGUGUGUUCCCAUCGUCUUAUGAUCACUCUGCUUGUCAAAGCAAGCCUGUGAGGUGGGUGUCAGAUCAUCCUCAUUUUAUAGAUACGGGAACCGAGCCUCAGAGAAGUAAAGAGGUUUGUCCAAAGUCCCAUGGUCUGUAAAGGAUUAAGCCAUGUCCCCACCACCAUGUGCUGCCUUUGUAGUUCCCAAGAGGUGAAACAGAGCUAUGUGAAGUUAAGAGUUGUUAUUGAUGCAUUUUAAAAAAGUAUUUUGGGAGGAAGGGGAGUAAAUAGGUGGGCUCAAGGUCACAGGGUUAAUGAGCCUGGAGCAAGAGAUGGUCAGGGGUUUCAGCGAUUGGUUUUCCCCUUGCCUCUCCCCCGACCCACUCCAGAGAGGGGAGCAUGCUAAUGCAUCCUGCCAGACAGGAGAAACUGGGAUUUUUGCUGGAACUGGGGGUCUGGAAUUGGGCCUGGCUUUAUGGGCAACCUUGGGAAGAAGGGAAGGGGUAGGAGAAAGAGGUGGGACUGGAGAUGAAAAACAAAGGUGAAGAAAUAAAAUAAUGAAACCGUGAGUAGGUGAGGUGUUAGGGAGACAGCUUGCCAGGGUGGGCAGCACAGAUGACUGGAGGGUGGAGGGAGGUGGUGGGAGGCGAAUGCACAGAUCUGAGCUCUGAGAAACUGGGUAGAGGGGGCUCAGUAUGGGUGUCAAGAGUUGCGGGUGGGGACAGUGGAGUGUGACACCCCAGGGACGGGUGCUUCCUGGAAAAAAGGUGAUAGGGUCUUUUCCUGGCCAAGGGGGAGGCUUUGGAAUGUUCUUGCACAGUUUAUUUUUAGUGAGAUUCCUUCUAACUUUUUUUUUUUUUAAAGGUAUGGGAUGGGACAUAAUAGUUACCACUUAUUAAGUGCCUAUUGUCUGCUGAGAAGUUGUUUCACUUGCAUCAACCCAGUUCAUAGCAUACACAAUUACUUUUUGAGGUAGGGACUAUUACUAACUCCAUCUGAUAGAUAAGGAAUCUGAGUCUCAGGCUUAUCUGAAUACCUUCUGCUUUGAUUUAUUUAUUUAUUUAUUUAUUUAUUUAUUUAUUUAUUUUUUUGUCUUUUGUCUUUUUGUUGUUGUUGUUGUUGCUAUUUCUUGGGCCGCUCCCGCGGCACAUGGAGGUUCCCAGGCUAGGGGUUGAAUCGGAGCUGUAGCCACCGGCCUACGCCAGAGCCACAGCAACGCGGGAUCUGAGCCGCGUCUGCAACCUACACCACAGCUCACGGCAAUGCCGGAUCGUUAACCCACUGAGCAAGGGCAGGGACCGAACCCGCAACCUCAUGGUUCCUAGUUGGAUUCGUUAACCACUGCGCCACGACGGGAACUCCUGAUUUAUUUAUUUUAAAUGAGAGCUGUGUAUGAGAAGCCAGAACCUACUUAGACAGAACUCACCCAAGGGUUUUUGUUUUAUUUUUUCCAGGACCUGCUCUUUAGUUUGGCAGAUAUGGGGCAGAGUAGGGGUAGUGGGUUGAGAAAGAAAUAAGAUAUUUGAAAACACACAGGAGGCCAAAGAGAAAGAGAAAUUUCAUGUACAACAACCCUGCCUUGUAAAUAUCAUUGAGACUCUAUUAUUAUUUUGUCUACCCAAGCAGGCACUGCAAAUCCAGCACCCUCCCUGGCUGGGGUAGGGGUGGUGUGGGUGUUUAGCCCUGGCUCUGCCAGGCAUGUAUCCCAUCUCCCUGGCCACAGUGAUUGUACCAGGCAUGAGCAUGUGACCCAGUCCAGGGCAAUCACAUCCUUUCUUG